This 468-nucleotide ribosomal RNA is filed under the name uncultured bacterium. RNAcentral's name for it is "partial 16S ribosomal RNA". It matches the Rfam family "Bacterial small subunit ribosomal RNA", at positions 28 to 507 of the family's 1533-position model. The record is from RNAcentral.
GACGAACGCUGGCGGCGUGCUUAACACAUGCAAGUCGAACGGAAAGGCCCUGCUUUUGUGGGGUGCUCGAGUGGCGAACGGGUGAGUAACACGUGAGUAACCUGCCCUUGACUUUGGGAUAACUUCAGGAAACUGGGGCUAAUACCGGAUAGGAGCUCCUGAUGCAUGGUGGGGGUUGGAAAGUUUCGGCGGUUGGGGAUGGACUCGCGGCUUAUCAGCUUGUUGGUGGGGCAGUGGCUUACCAAGGCUUUGACGGGUAGCCGGCCUGAGAGGGUGACCGGCCACAUUGGGACUGAGAUACGGCCCAGACUCCUACGGGAGGCAGCAGUGGGGAAUAUUGCACAAUGGGCGGAAGCCUGAUGCAGCAACGCCGCGUGCGGGAUGACGGCCUUCGGGUUGUAAACCGCUUUCGCCUGUGACGAAGCGUGAGUGACGGUAAUGGGUAAAGAAGCACCGGCUAACUACGUG